AAAAUUAUAAAAACAAAAUACUUUCCAUUUCACAAAUCUUUCAUUAAUUAGACAAAUUACCCAAAAUUUCUGUAGAUUAAAGUGAAAAAUCUCUCUUUGUUUUGGCACAUUUUGUUCUUUCGCUCUCUCUGCGAAAAGCUCUAAAUAGAGGAAGGCUGUUCGCAGAGAGAGUUAAAGGAUUACAUAUUAAUUAUUAUUUUUAUUAACAAUGGCGAUAAUUGGUUCUAGUAAGGUUCUGUUUGGUUUCUUUGCUGCAUUUUCCCUAAUUUUCUCUAUCUUUUUACCUACUGUUCAGGGUCAAGAAUCUUUUGCUCCGACCCCUGCUCCGGCAAGUGACGGUUAGUUUUUUCUUUUAUAAAACUUUUAUUUAUUUCAUUUCUUUUUUCUUUCUAAAUAUUCCUUUUUGUUUCGUCUAGAGCUUUUGGCCCAUAUUAUCUUUUAUCUUUGAGGGUAUAUCUAUUUUGGUACAUUUGAGCAUAUUUAGUUCCUUAAAUAUGCUAAAAUACAGCACCUUUCUUCUCACUGAUAGAGUAUGUCCAAGAUCAAUUGCGGGGUUGGGUUCGACACUCACAUCUUUCUGAUUUACUUACCGAACUUUAUAAACCAACAUCCAUUAAUAGUACAU
This 625-nucleotide long non-coding RNA is filed under the name Nicotiana benthamiana. RNAcentral describes it as "long non-coding RNA (NBEN_LNC016689)". The record is from RNAcentral. Lineage: Eukaryota; Viridiplantae; Streptophyta; Magnoliopsida; Solanales; Solanaceae.